Molecule: transfer RNA, 85 nt
Filed under: Felis catus (domestic cat)
Lineage: Eukaryota; Metazoa; Chordata; Mammalia; Carnivora; Felidae
Rfam family: tRNA
About the family: Transfer RNA (tRNA) molecules are approximately 80 nucleotides in length. Their secondary structure includes four short double-helical elements and three loops (D, anti-codon, and T loops). Further hydrogen bonds mediate the characteristic L-shaped molecular structure. tRNAs have two regions of fundamental functional importance: the anti-codon, which is responsible for specific mRNA codon recognition, and the 3' end, to which the tRNAs corresponding amino acid is attached (by aminoacyl-tRNA synthetases). tRNAs cope with the degeneracy of the genetic code in two manners: having more than one tRNA (with a specific anti-codon) for a particular amino acid; and 'wobble' base-pairing, i.e. permitting non-standard base-pairing at the 3rd anti-codon position.
Source: Rfam by way of RNAcentral
GCCUGGGUGGCUCAGUAGGUUAAGCGUCCGACUUCAGCUCAGGUCAUGAUCUCAUGGUUCGUGGGUUCGAGCCCCGCAUCGGGCU